This 1161-nucleotide ribosomal RNA is filed under the name metagenome. Its description in RNAcentral is "bacterial LSU rRNA". It matches the Rfam family "Bacterial large subunit ribosomal RNA", at positions 1157 to 2302 of the family's 2925-position model. The record is from RNAcentral.
GCCUGCGCGGAAGAUGUAACGGGGCUCAAAUAUAGCACCGAAGCUGCGGCAUCAGACGAAAGUCUGUUGGGUAGGGGAGCGUUGUGUAAGCGGAUGAAGGUGUGUUGAGAAGCAUGCUGGACGUAUCACAAGUGCGAAUGCUGACAUAAGUAACGAUAAAACGGGUGAAAAACCCGUUCGCCGGAAGACCAAGGGUUCCUGUCCAACGUUAAUCGGGGCAGGGUGAGUCGGCCCCUAAGGCGAGGCUGAAAAGCGUAGUCGAUGGGAAACGGGUUAAUAUUCCCGUACUUGGUAAAGCUGCGAUGUGGGGACGGAGCAGGUUAGGUUAGCGUGCUGUUGGAUAUGCACGUUUAAGUUGGUAGGUGGGGAGUUUAGGCAAAUCCGGACUUCCUUAACACUGAGAGAUGAUGACGAGGCUCUACGGAGCUGAAGUAACCGAUACCACACUUCCAGGAAAAGCCACUAAGCUUCAGGUUUAUCUAAACCGUACUGAAAACCGACACAGGUGGUCAGGUAGAGAAUACUCAGGCGCUUGAGAGAACUCGGGUGAAGGAACUAGGCAAAAUAGCACCGUAACUUCGGGAGAAGGUGCGCCGGCGUAGAUUGUAGUCCCUAGCGGGCGAAGGUUGAACCGGUCGAAGAUACCAGCUGGCUGCAACUGUUUAUUAAAAACACAGCACUCUGCAAACACGAAAGUGGACGUAUAGGGUGUGAUGCCUGCCCGGUGCUGGAAGGUUAAUUGAUGGUGUAAUCGAAAGAGAAGCUCCUGAUCGAAGCCCCAGUAAACGGCGGCCGUAACUAUAACGGUCCUAAGGUAGCGAAAUUCCUUGUCGGGUAAGUUCCGACCUGCACGAAUGGCAUAAUGAUGGCCAGGCUGUCUCCACCCGAGACUCAGUGAAAUUGAAAUCGCCGUGAAGAUGCGGUGUACCCGCGGCUAGACGGAAAGACCCCGUGAACCUUUACUAUAGCUUGACACUGAACAUUGAAUUUUGAUGUGUAGGAUAGGUGGGAGACUUAGAAGUAGUCACGCCAGUGAUUAUGGAGUCGUCCUUGAAAUACCACCCUUUAACGUUUGAUGUUCUAACGAAGAUUACGAAACGUGGUCUCGGACAGUGUCUGGUGGGUAGUUUGACUGGGGCGGUCUCCUCCCAAAGAGUAACG